Cherax quadricarinatus is the source of this 2059-nucleotide RNA transcript. It is a transcript of the gene named NADH dehydrogenase (ubiquinone) B18 subunit, with no coding region annotated. NCBI's taxonomy places the organism in Eukaryota, Metazoa, Arthropoda, Malacostraca, Decapoda, Parastacidae. The record is from RefSeq and is a predicted model, not a curated record.
GAUAAUGGAACAACAGCAGCAGCAGCAGCUGAUCCUGGGCCGGCUGCUGGAGUGAGACAACUGCUGGUGCAGUGUAAAUUUCUGAGCAAGAUGGGGCACGUGUACUCUCAGUACCUGGGUGACCCAGCAGUAACACCAGACCACACUAAAGGACCAACCUUCGACCCGUUAUAUGGGUACCCUGGAGGCAGGAAGGAGAGAGUAAUGAUAGCAACACUCGAAGAAAUGGAGUCUGCUCAGCUUCCUCUAAAUAAACGAGACUAUUGUGCUCAUCUGGCCAUUGAUCACCGGGCGUGCAGGCAGAGAGUCUGGCCAUUUACUUACAAGUGUGCACAUGAAAAACAUACAUAUCUUAACUGUGAAUAUGCGGAUUAUGUGUUGAGACUGAAAGAGCAUGAGCGUGAGCGCCGUCUUCUGGAGCGAGCCAAGAGGAAGGCAGAACGAGCUGCAAGAGAAGCACAUUGACCACUUGACUUAUGUGCUGAUUUCUGCUGCUUGCACAUACUGUGAGAGACUUGUUCUUUGUCUUUCCAGAAGAGUGAUGACAUCACAGUCUGAUUACUCCUCUGAUUGCAGCAUCCCCACCUCUCCAUAGUACAGGCAUUGCCUUUCUCACCUCCAGGGCUCAAGUACAGCAGCUGGUUUCCUUGAAUCUCUUCAUAAAUGUUACCCUGCUCACACUCCAGCAGCACACCCAUUAGUUAGUUUAUCUUGAUUAUGCAGCCCAUAAAUUCUUCAUCUCCAUUCUUCUCUCAUCUUAUUGAUAUUAGAUUAUGGUGACCAGCUGUAUUCUGCAGCCUUUCCUACAACUCUUUCUAAACUUGAUCCCAUUCAUCAUUGAGGGUGAGCUUGUCUAGGUGCUUUUUAUUCCUCCCAGCUUUGCAAGAUCAGUAUGAUGCCCAUUGUCUAUAUUAUUUUGUCUGCUCUCAUGACUUUACCUUUAUGAUUCUUCUGUAUAUAGGAUGAUAACAGAUGUUAGAAGUCCAGUGUUUGAUCACCGUCUCUUUUUACUAAAUCCCUUUUCUUCCCAUAUUCGCUCUUUUAUUCCCUUCAUUUACCCCCCUCUUUAUGUCCAUCCAGCAUCUAAAUUUUCUCUUCCUCUUGGGAAGUUCCAAAAUACAUGUCUCUUCUUUCCCACUUGUGUGCACAAAAGUUCAACUGCCUAAAAUUGCUUCUCACUGCCUUUAUCUUUAUCUUCCAGUCUCAUUCACAUGUCAUUGCAAUUUAAACCGGUGGUUCUAAUUCCUUUGAAGGUGUUGGGUUUGCAGCAGUUGGUUUUCCAGACAGAGUUAUACAAGGUUAUUUAUUCAAUUAUAUGACCCAUGCAUUCCAUUCUUAGACUGUUUUAUUGUAAUCUCUAGAGACCUUCACAACUGUUGGCAACAGUGAUGGUCUGAGUUAAUUCAUAAAAGUUACAUUCUAUCAAACCUUGCUUACGCUUUGGUCUUCUUAUCGCUGUUGUGUCUGGGAGACUAUGCUCUUCUGCCUUCAUAUUGGACACUCGCAUCUCUCUCAUGGGUAUCUCAUGCAGAAGCAUCCAGCGUCACUCUGUGAGACUUGUUGAGUUCCAUUUUCAGUCUGCCAUAUCCUGACAUACUGUCCUUUCUCCCAUCAACCACAAAAUUUACCUCCGGCGUCAUCACCACUCUUAACAUCCUUACUCUAUCUUCCCUCCUUUCUGACAGCUCCAGCUUUGACUUUUUGUCAGUAACAUUUUUAUUACACUGACUUUGAUUAUAUAACUCUGGCAUACUCUUCACUCUCGCCGGUCUUUGAUCAGGCACAUUACACCUUUAGCACAUCCGACCCUGCAGUGCUGUAUGACCCUGGUGGGUUUAAUGCUAGUUAUGAUUGUAAAAAUAAUAUAACCCAUGUAGGUUUAGCGCUUCAUAUGGGUCACCCUGCCUCGGUGGGAAGCGGCCAAUGUGCUGACAAAAAAAAAAUGAUUAUAAUGUAUUUCCUCUCCCAUGAGGACCCCUCUACCAUGUGGGGUCAUGUGACCCACACUGGUUCAAUAGAUUAUUGUGAUCAUAAUGUAAUAAUAACUUUGUUAUGAACA